This is a long non-coding RNA of Dromaius novaehollandiae (emu), 8409 nucleotides long. RefSeq lists it as uncharacterized. The record is from RefSeq and is a predicted model, not a curated record. The transcript has 5 exons. Lineage: Eukaryota; Metazoa; Chordata; Aves; Casuariiformes; Dromaiidae.
UUUACGUAUAAAAAUGCCGUUUGUUUGUCCAAGGGACAGGUAGGGUGGGGCGUUCAUGCGGAGAGAUGCGACAGGGCUGACUUCAGAGAGAAAUACGACAACAACCGCAGUCGGGUUUGGAACGCGGGAUACACGGUCGCAGCGUGGAGACGUAAAAUCACCAAACAAACACGACAAAGAACGCCAGCGGCUUUUGGUCAGGGAAGAAAGCUACUUGGUACUUUGAAACAAAAAAAUUUGCCUUAAAUGAUGCAGUCUAAGGCAAUCUUAACUAAUUAUUGUUUCUUAAAGUAGAUAAAAUUCAGCAAAAAGCUUUAAAAAGAGAUAUCUCAGGCACAAUAUCAAUGUCAGGGGAGCGCAGAGUCUUCUUUGAACUUCCUGCCAGCGGCGAGUCACUUACGGGAGUUUUAUAGCACCGGCUUAGCAGUGGCAGCCUUCUGGAUCUGUCACAUCUUGUUUUAUUUGCAUCAGAGGCUAUAAUUAUAUUCAUACGAAGUAUACCCUAUCUGAGAAGCCGAAAGCGGGCCCUGAUUUAUGCUCCCUACAAGGCAGCUCUUCCCCUCCCGGACGCGAUGUGCCCCGACGCGGGGGCGGCUGCCCCACACGCCCCUGCGGGACACGCGGACGUGUUGCGGGGUGGCCGCCGGCCCCGGCACCUUCCCCGCGCGGUGCUGCGCUCGGGGCGUCCCGCCGCACGCCAGAGCUCGUCGCGGUGACGGGCGGGAGACGGAAACACGCCCGGGGAGCGCCGACACGUCCAGCGCGCCGGGGCGGCGAGGCCCGCAAGGCCCGCAAGGCCCGCAAGGCCCGCAAGGCCCACAAGGCCCGCAAGGCCCGCAAGGCCCGCAGGCGGGAGCACAACCGCUCGCUCCCGCGCGGCAGCCGCGGCUCACGGGGAGCAGCACAGUGGCUUGCAGGUUCGGAUGAGACCCUAAAUUAUUAACCUGGCUCUAUGGAGAGGAUGAUGCUGGUCCCACAGCAGCACUCACAGCUGCCUCCCCAGCUCAGAGCCUUUAGUGCUGAAUUAGCCAUGGUUUGUCUAUAUAGGUAGGUGUUUACUGGAAAACAAUUUGAAAAAGAAACGGGCAGAAAAUUUCCAGUGCGACUGCAGAGAUAGAUAGACUCCCACGUGCUGCUUCCUUAGACAGGAACUUCCAAAGCUGCCGUAGCAGGUGUCUCCAGUUUACACAGCUCGUUAGCUGGAUCUCUAUUUCAGGAGCUUCUGCCUUCCUUUGCUGAUAUUCCCCUUAGCAGUGGAAGAGCAGUGAUUCCCUGCUUGGUGUGUGAGAAACGUGCCCGUCCCUGCAGCGCACGUGGCACGGCGGCGCAGCACCGCUGCUCCGCUUUGCUGCCGUCUGUUUGCACCGAAACAUGUCCCUGUGCGUGGUGUCGGUGGCAGCGACAUUCGUAGGAUAUUCAAGAUCAUCAAUCUAACGUGGGCAAUAUGGGAGUCUGAGGCCAGGAUUUGACAGGCCUGGAGUGCUGUGUUUCACCAUGCGCACAGGGUCCCUGCUUUACUGUCCUAGGAGGGGCAGAAACAAAGGUCUGGAGGUCUCUGCCUGUAGCAGGACGAGGUCAGACAAGGGCAGGCGGGUGUUUGGCUCUAGGGAGACUGCCCGAGCUCCACAUACUCAUUACAGACCUGUUGCCUAAUGCUGCAAAGCUACAAACACUGGGAACAUGGCAAUGUCCUGCCCUCUCCACCCUGCGAGGGAGGUUUGCCUCGCUCUAUCAGCGAGUGCCAUCUCCUAACUCCCUGGGCACCUGGAAGUAGCGAGGGCGGAAGCACGCCUGGGGCACAGACGAUGUGCAGCUCAGAGGAGCCACGUGUCGUCGUUACAAGCACUUCCAGCGCUGGCCCCGCUUGGUUCAGGUAGUGGAUAUUGCCCAUGGAUAGCGGAGCUGACAGAAGACGGAGGAGCAGGUAGGCACAGCCACCGGCUGCUGCCGACAAGUGCUCUCGGAGCGAACCGAAGGAUGGGCAUAUCGAGACGCGUGUAUAGAGAAGACUUUCUCUGAUAUAUGACUGAUAGUCUCUUGUUGAAGUCUCGGAAAUGCUAUGGUCAGGAGGAGAAAACAAGGGAUAAACAUGGAAUGCAGUGGAAUUAUAAGACUGGAGACUUGGAGAGGGAAGGGCCAUGCCUGCUGUGGAGCAGACGUGUGCAGAUGUCAGUACGGGGGCAGAUACAGGACUCUCUUCCCCAUGGUGAGGAAUUGAGCACCCUUCUUAAUGGCAGGACUGGUAUAGCAGCUGGGAAUUGAGACUUCAACAUGAGAAGAAAAAUAAAAGCAAAAAGUCCGGAGCAAAUACUGGGAGGACAGACUGGCGAGACAGAUUCCUGGUUUUGCAGAGUCAAACAUGUAAAGUGUUAUAUGUCUUUCCUGAGGAAGCCUCAUGUGGGCAGGGACUUUCAGACUUGUUUUAUCAAGCAGUGCAGCUGAUGAAGCCUUAUUCAUAAAUGCUAAUUGUCCUCCCCAGAGGAUGCAGGUUUGUUUCUUUGUCUAGUUCACUCGGUCUCCACAAUGUUUACAGAACCUGGGCUUGAACCUAAGACGUCUUCCACGGCGCGUUUGAGGUAUGCUGCCUGCACCAUGGGAUGGUCUCGCGGACACCGCUUCACUCAAGGAGGGGAGAGUCUUUUUCCUUUGAAUAAUGAAACCUGUAUCCUGAAUUGCCCUGAAUUAGGUGCAAAAAUGCACCAGUCCCUAAGCAUUUUGUAAAGGGAAUGCUCUUCCUUUAGAUACGAGAUUUGUGCAGUUAGUAUGUAAGCAUGUCGAUCUCUGUCAACAUGCAAGAGAAAUACGCUGUCCUUUGAUACUCAGCAACUUCCAGCACAGGUGCUCUGCUAUGGACCACAAAAACCAGAGCGGAGGCUCACUCCUCCCCCUCUUUGGUGGUGUCUGACGCAGUUACAUGGUCUGCAUUUGAAACUCCUGUUUUCCCUCACCAUGCCACAGUGGAUUUGCACCUAACAGAUACAGAUAUCAUACACACAUGCAUUUACUUGUGUGUUUCAUCCACAGUUUGAAAUGCAGCUGCAUUUAGUGUAGCAGACCACGACUUUUUAACCCAACAAUUACCACAGUCUUAGGUAAGCAGGACGUGUAAGAGGCUUCUGCUAACUUUCACCAGAUUGAAUAUUUGAUUAAAAUCUUUGCAGCGAUAAUGAACUGUUGGGACAUUAUUUUUUUGAAGUAUAUGUUUUUAAUAGAUUCGAAGAAACAUAGGACCUGAUAUCAGCUACAUCAUUACAGUCUAAUUGAAAUAUUAUUUUUAAUACAGAUUUACUGACAAACAUUUCUCAAAGGAAGUUUUAUUCAAAUAAUAUCCCCUUUCCCUCUCUCCAUUUGCAUCUGAUGAUGUAGGCAGUGAGAAGCCAGGGUUGUGGGUGGUAGCUGGUGCAUAGAGAUUUAUUUCACAAUCCAGCUUUGGCAGCAACCGUGCGAGUUUUUUUUUUGUUUGUUUGUUUUUUAAUAAAAAGUUGCAGUUCUUUUCUGUUUGUGCCAGUUCCCAGGUAAGCAGAGUGUUCCUGAACAUAGUUUCUUCAGCUAGCGGGUAACAACUUUCUUGUCUGGCCAGCUUCUAAGGAUGUUAAGCAUGCCUCUAUAUUUUUUGCUCCUCUCUUAAAUUUCUUAGCCUCCCACUGUGGAGCUCACAGCGGGUUUUGCAAUCACAGGAUUAUCGCAGGGACAAGCAGUGGCAGCAGACGUGCUUCACACCAUGCUGCCGGUGCCAGCCCCAGGGCUGAGCCCCAUCGAGACAACGGUGCUGAGCUGUGACCUUCCCCAAGCAGUGCUGCAGCCCUAGGCACACCAUCUCCUCUGGUCCUUUCCUGGUGCAUAUACUUCAUUAAAUGGAGGAUAUAAAACUCCUUAAUUUGCCUCUCCUGUGCCCUGUUAGCACAGUGCAGCUGAAGCACCUUCUGGAGCGAGGCUGCCGAAAGCAGGAUUUGCUCCCGACUCUUCCUUUCCCUCCAAGGUGGAUGUUUUAGCUACAUGCUGGUCCGCAAACCUUCCGUGCGAUCUCUGCACCUUUACGGACUUCAGGACUGGUGAUUGAGUUUUUUUAAUUCCCCAGGGGCCUUAGAAACUGGGAGAUUCAACUUAAUGCAGUUAAAGAUUAGAGGUAACACACUGAUUUCACUAACUGACAGUUUUCCUUUAAUUUGCUCUUGUCUUUGUUUUCACUGUGCCAUCAGAAAGCAAAAUCACUGAGCUAAAUUUAAGAGCCUAAGUGAAAAAAUAAUUUAUGAAGAUAAAUACUCACUUUGAAGUUAAUUCAGUAUUUUUAACAUGACUUAUCAAAGCACCUGCACCUGUCCCCUUUGCAGGUUCCAGCUCAAAUGUUGCUCAGCAGGGAGAGGCUGGAAUGUCACUACAAAUCCUGGACUAGAGUCGGGAUGUUUUUUUUCCUCCUCAUUCACUAGAAUAACUUAUUUUCUAAGAAAUGAAGUCUAAUUAAACAUGCAUUUGGCAUAAAAGCCUCUUUAUUUCCUUAACAUCAAUUGUGUGUGUGUUUAAGCAUGUGGGGUAUAGGCAUGUGUGAGAGAUAUGAAGGACCCUAAUCAAGCUUGCAGAAUUAAUCAGAAUUAACAAUUGACAUUUUAAACUCAGCAGAAGAGUCAAGUUUUGUUUCUGCUACCUGGAGUCUCAGUAUUACGCUAACAUCUGGCCAAUUGCAGAAGGAAAGUCAAGGGUUCUAACUCACCAUUAGGUGGUGCCCCUGCCUUUCACUGAAAAAAUAAAACCAAGAAAACCAAAAAAUUUUUGCACCAAAGAAUUUACUACCUUCAUUUUCAUUAUGCAAAUAAAAACAGUUCUAAGAAAGAAUCUGUAGAGGAAGAUUACGUUUUAGUGUGGGAAUAAAUGAAAUACAUGCACGUUUAAUGAAAGAGUUCUUGGCUAUCGAGGUGCUUGGAAGAGCAGAGCAGCUCCCGCCCGGCGCCCAGUUACGCUGCCGUCGCCCGGGCCUCGACGGUGCUGCCCAGUGACGCCGCACCUGCCCCUGCCGCCACGGUUCUGCGGUGGGCGUGUUUUACGCCUAGCCUUUCUUACUGCGGUUCCUGCCGAUCGCAGAAAACUGAUGUCCAGGAGGGGCGUCUCUGACCCACUGAGAGUCAUUUUACACCCUGGAGCCACCUCCUGUCCCUGGAUCCAGAACACUCCACCUGGUUAGGCACGAGAGCAGCUGGACGCCAGGUCCAGCUCCAGCCGGGCUCCAGUUCCCAAAAUGAAUCUAAGUAAUAUGGAAAGUAGCUUGCACAAGGAAUUUACCCAGAUGAAAUCAUCUCUCUGACUCCCGUUACCGUCACCAGACCUGAUCCCGACCUGACCUGCAGACCACGUCCCAGCUUGGUCUUGGACCCGCCUCAUCACCGCAGCCUUGCCUGAUGGUCUGGGCUGGCGGCUGCCCCGGGCCCGUGCUGCUCUCCUCACCUCUCCGGGUGCCGUGGGACGGGCCAGACUGCCAGGCCCUACGCUGCCGGCCAGGAUCGCCCCAGUUCCCGGCUCCAUCGCUCAGAGGCAGCCGGCCCUCCCUGCUCCGUUUCUAACCGUGUCCUGUUGUCUCCAGAAUGCUCAUGCUGCACGACCUGCUGUGGGGAGCUGAUACCACCGCUGACUUCUGAGUCUGCAAAGACAGUUUUAAACAAGCUUCUCCAAACCGAAUUCGAUGUUUUUGGGUGUUGCUUGCUCCUUCCGUUUCAGAGUUUCCUGGGAGUCCUAGCUCAGCUUUUGCCCCAGGAAGGUGGCUGUGCUGACACGGCGGUGAGCGGCCGGGCUGCAGAGGUGCAGGUAAGACUGCGCCUUUGUUCCUGGGCUGCUGUGGAAAACAAUCCCUGGGAAUGCGGCUUGCACCUGCUUCCUUUCUUGAUGUCAUCCUUGGAGAUGAACUUUCAGGCUGUGUCAAACCUAAAAGAAAAAAAAAAUCAAACAAAAGCUCUAGUCAUUGGUGAAGGAUUUUCUUCCUUGAACCUCUUCCAAAAUCACUAGCUGCAUGUGCCUUCAUCUGCGAGCGAGCAGGAACGUUCUCAGCGCGCUGCGGAGGAGGCCAUCGCGUUGCUAGUGCGCGUCCUUGGCAGGAGGAUGUGAAUCUGCCCCGAUGCCGAGUGAGACGAGGGAGGUGCUGGGAUGGGAGAUCUCCAUGAAUAUACAGACCGUGCUCUCGGCAGUUCAGCCAAGAGGGAGUGGGCAUGCUAAUCAAGCUCCGAGUACCUCACCUAGGCUGUGCCCACAGCUUUCCCUGGAGCACUGCGUGGGUAUUUGGUUAUUAAAAUCUAACUGCUGGUUGUCAGACCUGGUGCAGGUACUGCUCAGGUCGAAUCCACUCCCCGAGUCACGCAGUGAGCGGUUUGCAAGCGUAACUCGCGGGGCCAGGUCUUCUCUGGCUGCUUUCAGCCUCCCCCGGUCCCAAGGGCUGGCACGCGCUGCGGAGGCUUUGGCUCGCAGGCAGCUGCGUCCCGGCGGGUCAGAGGUGCGGGAGCGAGCCAACCCCCGCGGGACGCGUGCUGAGGAGCGACCCGCCGGCGUGAGCCACAGCAUGCGCGGAGCUCGUGCUGCGUGCUGGCACCGCGGCCGGCGGCGGCGAGGCAAAUCGGUGGAGAAGAGCUGCUUUGGCCUGUGCAGCAGCCAGUUUCUAAGGGCUGCCUUGCACCCAAAUCCUGCGUGGUCCCGAGAACCGAAAGGCGCAGGCUUGCCUGAAAGGUAAAUGUCCAGGGGGGUGGUGGUAGGAGAGAGACAACAGCGUUCCCAAGCUAGACUUCCAAGGAUACUGGCACGCAGGCUGAGGUUCGCGGCCACCUCUGGGAUACUAGUACUCAAGCUGCAGAAGGGUGACAUUGCUUAGUGCAAGGCUCUCAGAGACCCCACUCCCGAGAUGCUGCUGAUCUGUACAGAAAACUGGUCUGAAUGGCGCAAAGAUGCCCGAGGUCACCCAGGGUGUCCGUCUGUCCCCAUGAAGCCUCAGGCCUGAGCUGCUCCUCUGAAAUUUCACACAGAUGUUCUAAAUGGCUUUCUCUGUUUUGUUUUUUUUUAAUUUUUGAUGCUAUGACAAUGAUGCAAUGAAGUAGAUGAACCAUUCUAUCAUGUAUAAAGUCAUUAAACACAGUUGCUAUUUAGCUCUAAUCAAAACAAUAACCAAGAUCAAGGCGUCUUACUGCCAAAUUGUUUCACUAUAGGGCCAGCAGACGGUAGUUCGUUGCACAUUACUUCUACUAGCCUGCCAUGAAAUAAUGUUAAUAAUACAAAUAACAAAAAAAGAAACAAGCUCAAUAAAACAAAACAUUCAAAAUUAAAUUUCAAAAUGUUCCAAAAUGAAAAAUUUCUAAAACGAAUGUGUUCCUAUGGAAGUUUUCAUUGGGAAGCCUUUACAGAAAAGUGCAGGUUUGUCAGAAUAGCCUUUUCUAACCAAAAGCCUUGCUGUAAAUCAUGACUGAAGGGCAUGUCUCACCGGGGGCAGAGAUGGGCCCGGGGUCUGCGGCCACUCUGCCCCCAGCACCCCUCCAUUCCUGCAUGCCUCGGCAGGGGAAGAGACAACUGAUAUCAAAUCUUGCCUUUCUGUAGGCCACUGUGCUGCAGGUUGGCUUGAUGGAACAGGAGCAAAUCCCUCUCUUGUGGAAAUUUUUAAAGUUCAGACAUAAUAUAUUGAAAUGUAAAAUACAUUCAAAUUAGAGACUAGGUGUAACAGCGUUAGUGGCUUACCGCAGCUGGAAUUCGGUGCUGAGCAAGGGAAGGCGGCAAGGGCUGGCUCUAAUUUGGAUCAGAUGGCGUGCCAGAACAUGUGCGCUGGAUUUGGGAGGUUUUCUGCGGGGGUGGCAGGGGGUCAUCUGCCCCACAAUAGCAGCACAGAUUCACAGCGGCCAGCCUGGCUCGCUUCAGCGAGACCCGAGUCCUGACGAGAUGGGUCAUCCCAGCAGAUGAAGGAUCGAUCUCAGCAAGUUGGCCUAGUCAGAUAAUUGUACGUAAAUGAACACAGGCAGUAAAAUACCUCCUCAUUUACCAAAAAGCCUGGCUCUCCCCGAGCGGGACUGCGGCGGGCUGGUGGGGCACUGCAGGAAUCGCGCUGGAGGGACGGUCCGGCCUCGCUGGCUUCCAGCGGAGGAGAGCAGCGGAGGAGGUUCAAGGAGAUCCACGGUCGUCGCUCGCCAGCGCCAAAGGCUGCAGCGCUGUGCACGACUUCCGCGGAGGACCUGUCUGCGCCGUGCGUUGCGGGGAAUCAAAGCUGCUUUCGCUGCGCUCCCAGCACAGCUACCGAACACAAACUGUGCGGCAGCCCAGCGGGAGCCGCGCGCUGACCUGCGAUCAAAGAGAGACGUGGCUCUGCCGCCCUCAGUGCCAGGCGGUCUUGUUUUAACUUAAGAAUGUCAAAAUAAUACAGAAUAAAACACGUGAGGAAUGAUCUCCCAUUGCUAA